GGGCCUAUAGCUCAGUUGGUUAGAGCAGGGGACUCAUAAUCCCUUGGUCGUCCGUUCAAGUCGGACUGGGCCCACCA
Molecule: transfer RNA, 77 nt
Filed under: Halomonas sp.
Lineage: Bacteria; Pseudomonadati; Pseudomonadota; Gammaproteobacteria; Oceanospirillales; Halomonadaceae
Also listed under: 10 other names
Description: tRNA-Ile
Rfam family: tRNA
About the family: Transfer RNA (tRNA) molecules are approximately 80 nucleotides in length. Their secondary structure includes four short double-helical elements and three loops (D, anti-codon, and T loops).
Source: RNAcentral